Molecule: ribosomal RNA, 251 nt
Filed under: uncultured prokaryote
Description: partial 16S rRNA
Rfam family: Bacterial small subunit ribosomal RNA
Source: RNAcentral
ACGGAGGGUGCAAGCGUUGUUCGGAAUUACUGGGCGUAAAGCGCGCGUAGGCGGCUAUUUAAGUCAGAUGUGAAAGUCCACGGCUCAACCGUGGAAGUGCAUUUGAAACUGGAUGGCUUGAGUACUGGAGGGGGUGGUGGAAUUCCCGGUGUAGAGGUGAAAUUCGUAGAUAUCGGGAGGAAUACCGGUGGCGAAGGCGACCACCUGGCCAGAUACUGACGCUGAGGUGCGAAAGCGUGGGGAGCAAACAG